RNAcentral lists this long non-coding RNA (231 nucleotides) under Malus domestica (apple). RNAcentral describes it as "long non-coding RNA (MDOM_LNC020104)". Lineage: Eukaryota; Viridiplantae; Streptophyta; Magnoliopsida; Rosales; Rosaceae. The record is from RNAcentral.
UUACUUAACGUGAUUGUGACUAGCAACCUUCACUACUUGUGAAUAUAAGUUCAUAACGAUUAGGUGAAAUUCCCUUAUAUUCUAGCGUCAAAUUCAUGCAUGAAAAUUAAGCGUGCACUCUCAACCAACAUACACAAAUUAGUUUUUAUACGAACGGAAAAGUAAAUUGAAUUCACAAUUCAAGAAACGCAAUUGGAAGUAAUCAAAUCAUAUAGCAAGCAUAAACAUGGU